This is a long non-coding RNA of Nilaparvata lugens (brown planthopper), 513 nucleotides long. RefSeq lists it as uncharacterized. NCBI's taxonomy places the organism in Eukaryota, Metazoa, Arthropoda, Insecta, Hemiptera, Delphacidae. The transcript is spliced from 2 exons. The record is from RefSeq and is a predicted model, not a curated record.
GGAAAACAGGAACUGAAAUUAUCAGUAUCAGCUGAUCCACAAGCUUACAUGAGUUUGUCAGCUGACUCUGCUGAAAUCAAUGAUUGUUUGACAAGUGAAAACCAAGGAAGAAGGAAGUGAAUUUGAGGUUAAAUUGUGUUCAAAAUCUUUUUACAGAACACAACUAUUGUCGGCCGAAUUCAAGAUGGUGUGUGUUCCAUGCUUCAUGAUACCAUUCCUGCUUAUCGUUUGGCGCAUUCUCCAGCCUUUCAUCCUGAGGUUUUGGAAUCCAUGGCAAGUAACAGACAAGGAUGGUAAAAAAGUCACCAAAGUCCCGUUCAAUUGCGUCAACUGUGUGGAAAAAACAGAUGAAGAUGGCAACACAAUAAUGGAGUGCCCCAUUUCAAAGAAGCCCGCAAGUAACGACAGUGAAACUCAUCUUAAAUCUUCAUGAACCUCUUGUAUUUUAUUUCUUCUCAUUAUUGGAAUAUCAAUGGCUAUUAUAUUUGAGUUUAGAGAGCACUGGCAAAAACU